RNAcentral lists this long non-coding RNA (311 nucleotides) under Gossypium barbadense (sea-island cotton). RNAcentral describes it as "long non-coding RNA (GBAR_LNC012181)". Lineage: Eukaryota; Viridiplantae; Streptophyta; Magnoliopsida; Malvales; Malvaceae. The record is from RNAcentral.
CCGAAAAUCUUACCGGUAAAUAGGUUUGGGUAUCGUUCUUUCAUAGAGUUCUCGGUUUCCCAAGUAGCUUCUUCGAUCCCGUGUUUGAGCCAUAACACCUUUACUAACGGAACCCUUUUGUUUCGCAACUCCUUCACUUCACGAGCUAGGAUACGAAUCGGUUCUUCUUCAUAACUCAUAUCGGAUUGAAUUUCAACCUCGGAGGGAUUAAUUAUGUGCGAAGGAUCAGAUCUGUAAUGUCGAAGCAUCGAAACAUGAAAAACGUUGUGAAUCUUCUCGAGAUCAGGGGGUGAAAUCAAUCUAUAUGCCAC